GCAACCCUCGGCACUUUUUUUUUUUAGAUUUUUUACUUUCCAGUUUUUGUUACCCAGACAACAGCGAGAGUCCUGCGGCUGCGGACAACCCUUUUGGCACUCUACGAAAGGGUUUUCCACAAGUUCAUUGCGAUCGACUCACUUUUAAUUUGCAUUUUGUUGGGAUUUCGGAAAUCAAGUUCUAAACUUACCCCAGACAGAUUCCAAACCAGAUCCCAAAUGCCACGUUUUUUAUGCGCAAGGGUUAAAAACUUUUCAGCCGGAGACAGAAAAAAACGUGGGUACUCCAGCAUGUGCUCGGGCAGAAUAAUUUGGAUUGA
Long non-coding RNA from Drosophila nasuta, 320 nucleotides. RefSeq lists it as uncharacterized. NCBI's taxonomy places the organism in Eukaryota, Metazoa, Arthropoda, Insecta, Diptera, Drosophilidae. The transcript is spliced from 2 exons. The record is from RefSeq and is a predicted model, not a curated record.